Molecule: ribosomal RNA, 1678 nt
Filed under: Clostridium perfringens
Lineage: Bacteria; Bacillati; Bacillota; Clostridia; Eubacteriales; Clostridiaceae
Description: partial 23S ribosomal RNA
Rfam family: Bacterial large subunit ribosomal RNA
Source: RNAcentral
GUCGUAACCGGGCUGAAGUCGUACCGUAAGGAGCGGUGGACUGGUUACGAGUGAGAAUGUUGGCAUCAGUAGCGAGAUGUGGGUGAGAAUCCCACAGGCCGAAAACCUAAGGUUUCCUCAGGAAGGUUCGUCCGCUGAGGGUUAGUCGGGACCUAAGCCGAGGCCGAAAGGCGUAGGUGAUGGACAACUGGUUGAUAUUCCAGUACCACUAUAAUCGUUAUUAUCGAUGGCGUGACGCAGGAGGAUAGUGUGUGCUAGCUAUUGGAUGCUAGUCUAAGCGUUUAGGCAGUGAGAGUAGGCAAAUCCGCUCUCAUAAUGCUGAGGCGUGAUGGGGAAGGUUCUACGGAACCGAAGUACAUGAUUCCACGCUGCCAAGAAAAGCGUCUAGAGAGAGAAGUAGUGCCCGUACCGCAAACCGACACAGGUAGGUGAGGAGAGAAUCCUAAGGCCGGCGGAAGAAUUACAGUUAAGGAACUCGGCAAAUUGACCCCGUAAGUUCGCGAGAAGGGGUGCCUACGAGAGUAGGCCGCAGAGAAUAGGCCCAAGCAACUGUUUAGCAAAAACACAGGUCUCUGCUAAAGCGUAAGCUGAUGUAUAGGGGCUGACGCCUGCCCGGUGCUGGAAGGUUAAGGGGAACACUUAGCGCAAGCGAAGGUGUGAACUUAAGCCCCAGUAAACGGCGGCCGUAACUAUAACGGUCCUAAGGUAGCGAAAUUCCUUGUCAGGUAAGUUCUGACCCGCACGAAUGGCGUAAUGACUUGGGCACUGUCUCAACUGUAAAUCCGGCGAAGUUGUAGUGCGAGUGAAGAUGCUCGCUACCCGCGAUUGGACGGAAAGACCCCGUAGAGCUUUACUGUAGCUUAGCAUUGAGUUUUGGUAUUGUCUGUACAGGAUAGGUGGGAGACUAGGAAACCAGGGCGUCAGCCUUGGUGGAGUCAACCUUGGGAUACCACCCUGACAGUACUGAAAUUCUAACUGGCGGCCAUGAAUCUGGUCACAGGACAUUGUUAGGUGGGCAGUUUGACUGGGGCGGUCGCCUCCUAAAAAGUAACGGAGGCGCCCAAAGGUUCCCUCAGAACGGUCGGAAAUCGUUCGAAGAGUGCAAAGGCAGAAGGGAGCCUGACUGCGACACCCACAAGUGGAGCAGGGACGAAAGUCGGGCUUAGUGAUCCGGUGGUACCUCGUGGGAGGGCCAUCGCUCAACGGAUAAAAGCUACCUCGGGGAUAACAGGCUGAUCUCCCCCAAGAGUCCACAUCGACGGGGAGGUUUGGCACCUCGAUGUCGGCUCGUCGCAUCCUGGGGCUGAAGUAGGUCCCAAGGGUUGGGCUGUUCGCCCAUUAAAGCGGCACGCGAGCUGGGUUCAGAACGUCGUGAGACAGUUCGGUCCCUAUCCGUCGCGGGCGUAGGAAAUUUGAGAGGAGCUGUCCUUAGUACGAGAGGACCGGGAUGGACUGACCUCUGGUGUACCAGUUGUUCCGCCAGGAGCACAGCUGGGUAGCUAAGUCGGGAAUGGAUAAACGCUGAAAGCAUCUAAGCGUGAAGCCAACCUCAAGAUGAGAUUUCCCAUAGCGUAAGCUAGUAAGAUCCCUUGAAGAACACAAGGUUGAUAGGUCGGGGGUGUAAGCAUGGUAACAUGUUCAGCUGACCGAUACUAAUAGAUCGAGGGCUUGACCAAAU